This 292-nucleotide ribosomal RNA is filed under the name uncultured bacterium. RNAcentral describes it as "partial 16S ribosomal RNA". The record is from RNAcentral.
GGACUACUGGGGUAUCUAAUCCUGUUUGCUCCCCACGCUUUCGCGCCUCAGCGUCAGUUGUGGUCCAGUUGGCCGCCUUCGCCACCGGUGUUCUUCCCAAUAUCUACGAAUUUCACCUCUACACUGGGAAUUCCACCAACCUCUCCCACACUCAAGCCUCGCAGUAUCAAGCGCACAUCCUAGGUUAAGCCCAGGGCUUUCACGCCUGACUAACAAGACCGCCUACGCGCCCUUUACGCCCAGUAAUUCCGAACAACGCUUGCCCCCUUCGUCUUACCGCGGCUGCUGGCAC